CUGGGGCUUGGGGAGGACAGGCCUUGCGCCCGCCCCGCACUCCCCCCGCCCAGCCUCGAUGUGGGGGAGCGAGGGAAGACCCCCUCCCGCGCAGCUCCACCCCGCAGCCCCCGGCCCGCCCGGUUCCCGGGUGCGGCGGGACUCACGGCCUUCAGCUGCUCCAGCCGGUCCUUCAUCCUGGUGCCCAGGCGCCCGGAGGCAGCCUUUCCAUUCAACAGCCAUUCACUACCUGUGCCGGGCUCUGUGCUAGGAUCCAGCCCUCAACAGACUGAUUCAUUGCUAGGCGGCGCCAACAUCCCGUACACGAAGAACUCUAAGACAACGUGAUUCGUGCCAUAACAGGUGGGAGAGAGAGAGCAAUUAAUUCUGCCUGGAGGAAGGGCAUUCCAAGUAAAGGAAUGCUCACGGUCCGGGGGACUGCGUGCUGGAGCUGAAAGAGGGUGUUCCUCGUGGAAAUAACUGGAGUUUGCUGUGGGGCCUUGUUGACAGAGGAGGAAUGACUGAUUCGUCACCUGUGGAGCAGAGCUGUAAGAGGAGGAUGUGUGUAUUGGAAAGCUUAAGCUUUCCUAUCUGAUCCCCUAGGUGAGUAGUACCUGAUCCCACUUUCUGAAAAGUGGGCCGUUUCUUCGCACUGCCCCUCCGUCUUUCUCCCCUCCCCGGCCCCACACCUCCAUCCUCUCUUCCCUCUUCCCUAUUUAUCUUCCUUCUUGGGAACAGAUGACAUAUCCAGCAGAUAUGGAGUGGAGCUCAAUAAAUAGGACUGACAGGCCUAAGAUUCAAUCCUCAAAUCAGGGAAAGAAUCUGAGCUAUGCAUCUAGAUUAAAGGGCUGUAGGACUUCCCUGGUGGUGCAGUGGUUAAGAAUCCGCCUGCCAGUGCAGGGAACACGGGUUCGAGCCCUGGUCCGGGAAGACCCCAUAUGCCACGGAGUAGCUAAGCCCGUGCGCCACAACUACUGAGCCUGCGCUCUAGAGCCCUCGCGCUAUAACUACUUAAGACCACAACGAGGGAAGCAGCCACCGCAAUGAGAAGCCCAUGCACCACAACGAAGAGUAGCCCCCACCCACCGCAACUCGAGAAAGCCCGCGCGCAGCAACGAAGACACAACGCAGCCAAAAUUAAAUAAAUAAAUAUUUUUUAAAAGGGCUGUAAAUAUUUUCGUAAUUCUAACAGAACUUUGCCCUGUUCUGCAAUCUUAGCGCUUGCUCCGUGCCGGCUUCAUCCCCUCCCAUGAAGAUAUGGUCUGUAAUCCUCGCUCUAGUCCUGCACACUUCCUUCUACCGCAGGCGCUCGCUAGGUGAAUUAAUUUCCAGUCUUUGGUAAAGGGAAGGCUUCUGCGCCCCCUGGUGGUCAGAAAUGGAAACGGUAAGCUAAUCAGAAAUCGCAUUCCACCUCCCUUCCUUAACAAAUUUUUGUCAAUGGGGAUAGCUAAGUUUCCGCGCUUCAGGAAAAGAGAGUCUUCUGAGGAGACAGAUAUGUGAACAACUCUUUACAUUAGACGUCUGAAAAGGACCACAGGAAAUGAUCAAGGAUGGCCAUUCAGCCUCUGCCUGAAUGCAUUUUAAUUUUUUCAGUUUUUUCAAACACUCAAGCAUCUUCUCUGGUUGAACAGUUUCCAACUGUUGUUUAAAAGUGUUUUGUUAUAUGAAACAAAAAUUUUCCUUCCUAUAACUUCCACCACUGUUUCUUGCUCUUCGCCUUUGUCCAAACAUUUAAGAAAUUUAAUCUGUCCUUCACAAGACAGGCUUUCCAUGAAGGGACAGUAGCUGUGGAGCCACAGAACGAUUGCUGACACACAGCCAGGAGGACUGAGUUCUAGACACAGUUUCUGCCACAAAACAGCUAUCGCUUGACAUCGCACAAUCUAUCCUCUCAUCUGUGAGGCAGAAGUCUGGAUUGCAGCAGCUAGUUGUGUAAAAUAAACUGAAGAAAGUCAAGUUACUGAGGGACAAGGGACCUGGGUGAGGAGAGGCCAUGGGCUGGUGAGGAAGACUGACAUUGAGCCCAAGUGGACUGUAAGGUCUCCACGUAUGGACAGUGACUUAAGGUCCCAGGCUUAGUAGGAUCCCCCUCCUCUCUGAUGUAUUUUUAUUUUUCUGCUCUACCAGGGUGCUUGGUUUCCCACCAUGUCUAGUGUGUAGCUGUUUCCCCACUAAACAAAUAUAGCAAGAUUAAAUCAAGUGUUUGCAUUUUGGCUAUAGAGAAGUCAGCCAACACUUAAUUUCACCUUUACAAACAAACCAAGAAGAGGAUCCUGGGGUUUGGGGCUCCGCUUCCCUCUCUCUUUCCUCUAAGCCUGUUUCUCUCCCACUGGAAAAUAAACACUGAGGCUUACACCACCUUGACCCUCAGGGCCUGCUGAGGAACAGGUGAGACCACUUUCUGGCGACUGUACCUGGAGGCAGUGUCCCCAGGGUGUGGUGUUCAAUAGAAAGAGAUAAAGGAGCUAGAAAAUGGAAGGGGAAGGUCCUUUCUGUUCCCCACAGCAAUUCUUCCCCACUGCAGGGAGGAUGGAGAAUACACUUCCUGACUUGUAGUUUUCACCCCCUUACAGUUUGUAUUAGUUAUCUAUUGCCGCAUAACAAAUUGCCCUAAAACAGCUUGAAACGACAUUACCCUCUGGUUUCUGUGAUUCAGGAAUCCAGGUGCAGUUUCGCUGGGUGCCUCUGCCUCGCUGCAAUUAAGGUGUUGGCUGGAGGCUGCGUCUCAUCUCAUGGCUUGACUGGGAAAGGAUCUGCUUCCAAAGUCCCUCACGUGGUUGCCAGCAGGAUUCAGUUCUUCAAGGGCUGUACUUCACCCCGUGGGCCUCUGCAUAGGGCAGCUCACAACAUGGCAGCUGAAGUCCAUCAGCCCAAGCAGGUGAGAGGGAUAGAGAAAGAGAGAGAAAAGCCAAAGUGUUUUUGUAACCUAGUCUCGGCUGUGACAUCACUUUUGCCAUACUGUAUCGAUUAAAAGAGAAGCCCUAGGUUCAGCCCACACUCAAGGCCAGGAGAUUACACAAGGGGGGGAAGACCAAGAGCCAUCUCAGCCGCUGCCUAGAACACAAUUCAAAUCCCAAAUUCAUGCCACAGUUAUGCUCUUUCACCUUAGAGCUCUCUUCUCCCCUGUAUCUGAACUGGACAACUCUGACCCACUCUAGGAUUAAGUGUCCCUCAAACAUGCUUCCCUGACAGCCUGGACUUCAAGAUAGCCCUACCACACUGCAUAACCUGGUCUAGUUCCUGUACCUUCUAUGAGCUCCGCGAGGCCAGCAGCCUUGUCUCUCCUUUUCACUAAUGCGAACCCAGACCCCAGCCUCGGUCCCAAAACGUCCUUGUAGGCACUCAGUUAGGGUUUUUACCAAAUGAAUUAAGUGAAGCUUCUUGUCCUAUGGCUCCAUUAUGUCUUUCUUCUGAUUAAAAUUCAUCAGUGGCUCCUUAUUACAAGAUUAGGGAGUCCAGACUCUUCUUAGAAUGGCAUUCAAGCCCUUGCGCAGUCUGGCCCCAGCCCAAGGUACUGUCACUCCCUGACACACACAGCCCCACCUUCAGCUUCCUCAAACACCCACCUCUUCUCUGCAUCGAAUAUGCCCAGGAUUUCCCACCCAUCUCUGCCUGAUUUGUCCUUUUUCCAUUUCAUGUCUGACAAAUCCCUACUCCUCCUCCAAGACCGAGGCCUUCUCCAGUUCACGUCUCCCUGGCCCUCUGCCCUUCCGCCCCAAACAGUACUUGUUCAGAUCUAUUUUAAAAGCAGGGCUUCCCUGGUGGUGCAGUGGUUGAGAGUCCGCCUGCCGAUGCAGGGGACACGGGUUCGUGCCCGGGUCCGGGAAGAUCCCACAUGCCACGGAGUGGCUGGGCCCGUGAGCCAUGGCCGCUGAGCUCUGCGCGUCCGGAGCCUAUGCUCUGCAACAGGAGGG
Long non-coding RNA from Lagenorhynchus albirostris (white-beaked dolphin), 3893 nucleotides. RefSeq lists it as uncharacterized. NCBI's taxonomy places the organism in Eukaryota, Metazoa, Chordata, Mammalia, Artiodactyla, Delphinidae. The record is from RefSeq and is a predicted model, not a curated record. The transcript is spliced from 4 exons.